CUAAGUGGCGGACGGGUGAGUAAUGUAUAGUUAAUCUGCCCUUUAGAGGGGGAUAACAGUUGGAAACGCUGCUAAUACCCCAUACUCCUUUUAUCUUAAUGGUAAUUGGGAAACGUUUUUUCGCUAAAGGAUGAGACUAUAUGGUAUCAGGUAGUUGGUGGGGUAAGAGCCUACCAAGCCAAUGACGCCUAGCUGGUCUGAGAGGAUGAUCAGCCACACUGGAACUGAGACACGGUCCAG
Molecule: ribosomal RNA, 240 nt
Filed under: uncultured bacterium
Lineage: Bacteria
Description: partial 16S ribosomal RNA
Rfam family: Bacterial small subunit ribosomal RNA
Source: RNAcentral